This is a non-coding RNA of Mycena olivaceomarginata, 91 nucleotides long. The record is from the annotation of a GenBank genome assembly. Lineage: Eukaryota; Fungi; Basidiomycota; Agaricomycetes; Agaricales; Mycenaceae.
GACUUGGUGGUGUAUGGUAACACACCUGUUGCACAUGACGCAGAGCCAGAUUAUUCGGCAGGAGAGCCCCGUUCGAUUCGGGGCCAGGUCA